UAAUGUGAAUUGCAGAAUUCAGUGAAUCAUCGAAUCUUUGAACGCACCUUGCGCUCUUUGGUAUUCCGAGGAGCAUGCCUGUUUGAGUGUCAUUAAAUUCUCAACCUU
This 108-nucleotide ribosomal RNA is filed under the name Galerina atkinsoniana. Its description in RNAcentral is "partial 5.8S ribosomal RNA". The stretch from base 1 to 92 matches the Rfam family "5.8S ribosomal RNA", at positions 63 to 154 of the family's 154-position model. Rfam says of the family: 5.8S ribosomal RNA (5.8S rRNA) is a component of the large subunit of the eukaryotic ribosome. It is transcribed by RNA polymerase I as part of the 45S precursor that also contains 18S and 28S rRNA. The record is from RNAcentral. Lineage: Eukaryota; Fungi; Basidiomycota; Agaricomycetes; Agaricales; Galerinaceae.